UAAGGAGCACCAUCCACCGAAAGGUGGCAUGGAGCCCGCGGCCCGCGAAUGUCGGGUCGGGGUGCUCAGAUGGCGGAGACACUGGCAAGUUCGGCGCCGGCAACCGGGAUACCUCUAGUACAGCCACUUCGGUGGUGGGAACGAGUUCCUGGUGCGGCUGGUGAGGAGCGUAAGCACCCUGUUGGGUCCUGAAAGAACAACCCGAGAUGGUUGUUGUUUCAGAGCCUUGAGAUGCCCCGUGUGGACGUUGGUCCCGGGGGCGUGAGGCGCAGGCAUGGCCUGUCUCGCAAACCGUGGCCACGUGGUGUUGCAGGUGUGGGGCUGUGGGUUGUGGGUUGGUUGUUUGUUGAGAAUUGCACAGUGGACGCGAGCAUCUUUGUGGUCAA
RNAcentral lists this unclassified non-coding RNA (386 nucleotides) under Micromonospora pallida. The record is from RNAcentral. Lineage: Bacteria; Bacillati; Actinomycetota; Actinomycetes; Micromonosporales; Micromonosporaceae.